This 332-nucleotide ribosomal RNA is filed under the name uncultured bacterium. RNAcentral's name for it is "bacterial SSU rRNA". It matches the Rfam family "Bacterial small subunit ribosomal RNA", at positions 568 to 898 of the family's 1533-position model. The record is from RNAcentral.
CGUGCAGGCGGUCUUGUAAGUGGGCUGUGAAAUCCCCUGGCUCAACCAGGGACAUGCAUCCCAGACUGCAAGGCUUGAGUAUAGGAGAGGAUGGGGGAAUUCCCGGUGUAGCGGUGAAAUGCAUUGAUAUCGGGAGGAACACCAGUGGCGAAGGCGCCCAUCUGGCCUAAUACUGACGCUCAGGCGCGAAAGCUAGGGGAGCAAACAGGAUUAGAUACCCUGGUAGUCCUAGCCGUAAACGGUGGGCACUAGGUGUAGGAGGCAUCGACCCCUCCUGUGCCGCAGCUAACGCAUUAAGUGCCCCGCCUGGGGAGUACGACCGCAAGGUUGAA